GAGCGCCGUAGCAAUACGGAGCGGCAGACGGGAGAGUAACACGUGGGAACGUGCCCUUUGGUUCGGAACAACCCAGGGAAACUUGGGCUAAUACCGGAUAAGCCCUUACGGGGAAAGAUUUAUCGCCGAAGGAUCGGCCCGCGUCUGAUUAGCUAGUUGGUGGGGUAAUGGCCCACCAAGGCGACGAUCAGUAGCUGGUCUGAGAGGAUGAUCAGCCUCACUGGGACUGAGACACGGCCCAGACUCCUACGGGAGGCAGCAGUGGGGAAUAUUGGACAAUGGGCGCAAGCCUGAUCCAGCCAUGCCGCGUGGGUGAUGAAGGCCCUAGGGUUGUAAAGCCCUUUCGGCGGGGAAGAUAAUGACGGUACCCGCAGAAGAAGCCCCGGCUAACUUCGUGCCAGCAGCCGCGGUAAU
This 414-nucleotide ribosomal RNA is filed under the name uncultured bacterium. RNAcentral describes it as "bacterial SSU rRNA". It matches the Rfam family "Bacterial small subunit ribosomal RNA", at positions 64 to 524 of the family's 1533-position model. The record is from RNAcentral.